This 1536-nucleotide ribosomal RNA is filed under the name Klebsiella sp. WP3-W18-ESBL-02. RNAcentral's name for it is "bacterial SSU rRNA". It matches the Rfam family "Bacterial small subunit ribosomal RNA". RNAcentral also lists the same sequence under 1 other name. The record is from RNAcentral. Lineage: Bacteria; Pseudomonadati; Pseudomonadota; Gammaproteobacteria; Enterobacterales; Enterobacteriaceae.
UUGAAGAGUUUGAUCAUGGCUCAGAUUGAACGCUGGCGGCAGGCCUAACACAUGCAAGUCGAACGGUAGCACAGAGAGCUUGCUCUUGGGUGACGAGUGGCGGACGGGUGAGUAAUGUCUGGGAAACUGCCCGAUGGAGGGGGAUAACUACUGGAAACGGUAGCUAAUACCGCAUAACGUCGCAAGACCAAAGUGGGGGACCUUCGGGCCUCACACCAUCGGAUGUGCCCAGAUGGGAUUAGCUAGUAGGUGGGGUAACGGCUCACCUAGGCGACGAUCCCUAGCUGGUCUGAGAGGAUGACCAGCCACACUGGAACUGAGACACGGUCCAGACUCCUACGGGAGGCAGCAGUGGGGAAUAUUGCACAAUGGGCGCAAGCCUGAUGCAGCCAUGCCGCGUGUAUGAAGAAGGCCUUCGGGUUGUAAAGUACUUUCAGCGAGGAGGAAGGCGUUAAGGUUAAUAACCUUAGCGAUUGACGUUACUCGCAGAAGAAGCACCGGCUAACUCCGUGCCAGCAGCCGCGGUAAUACGGAGGGUGCAAGCGUUAAUCGGAAUUACUGGGCGUAAAGCGCACGCAGGCGGUUUGUUAAGUCAGAUGUGAAAUCCCCGGGCUCAACCUGGGAACUGCAUUUGAAACUGGCAAGCUUGAGUCUCGUAGAGGGGGGUAGAAUUCCAGGUGUAGCGGUGAAAUGCGUAGAGAUCUGGAGGAAUACCGGUGGCGAAGGCGGCCCCCUGGACGAAGACUGACGCUCAGGUGCGAAAGCGUGGGGAGCAAACAGGAUUAGAUACCCUGGUAGUCCACGCCGUAAACGAUGUCUAUUUGGAGGUUGUUCCCUUGAGGAGUGGCUUCCGGAGCUAACGCGUUAAAUAGACCGCCUGGGGAGUACGGCCGCAAGGUUAAAACUCAAAUGAAUUGACGGGGGCCCGCACAAGCGGUGGAGCAUGUGGUUUAAUUCGAUGCAACGCGAAGAACCUUACCUACUCUUGACAUCCAGAGAACUUAGCAGAGAUGCUUUGGUGCCUUCGGGAACUCUGAGACAGGUGCUGCAUGGCUGUCGUCAGCUCGUGUUGUGAAAUGUUGGGUUAAGUCCCGCAACGAGCGCAACCCUUAUCCUUUGUUGCCAGCGGUCCGGCCGGGAACUCAAAGGAGACUGCCAGUGAUAAACUGGAGGAAGGUGGGGAUGACGUCAAGUCAUCAUGGCCCUUACGAGUAGGGCUACACACGUGCUACAAUGGCAUAUACAAAGAGAAGCGACCUCGCGAGAGCAAGCGGACCUCAUAAAGUAUGUCGUAGUCCGGAUUGGAGUCUGCAACUCGACUCCAUGAAGUCGGAAUCGCUAGUAAUCGUAGAUCAGAAUGCUACGGUGAAUACGUUCCCGGGCCUUGUACACACCGCCCGUCACACCAUGGGAGUGGGUUGCAAAAGAAGUAGGUAGCUUAACCUUCGGGAGGGCGCUUACCACUUUGUGAUUCAUGACUGGGGUGAAGUCGUAACAAGGUAACCGUAGGGGAACCUGCGGUUGGAUCACCUCCUU